CAGCAGCCAGGGAAUACGUAGGGUGCAAGCGUUAAUCGGAAUUACUGGGCGUAAAGCGUGCGCAGGCGGUUAUAUAAGACAGAUGUGAAAUCCCCGGGCUCAACCUGGGAACUGCAUUUGUGACUGUAUAGCUAGAGUACGGCAGAGGGGGAUGGAAUUCCGCGUGUAGCAGUGAAAUGCGUAGAUAUGCGGAGGAACACCGAUGGCGAAGGCAAUCCCCUGGGCCUGUACUGACGCUCAUGCACGAAAGCGUGGGGAGCAAACAGGAUUAGAUACCCGAGUAGUCCCUGUCUCUUAUACA
This 301-nucleotide ribosomal RNA is filed under the name uncultured bacterium. RNAcentral describes it as "partial 16S ribosomal RNA". It matches the Rfam family "Bacterial small subunit ribosomal RNA", at positions 509 to 808 of the family's 1533-position model. The record is from RNAcentral.